UGGCUCAGUUGGUAGAGCAUGGUGUUGCAAAUGCCAGGGUUGUGGGUUCGACUCCCAC
This 58-nucleotide transfer RNA is filed under the name Salmo salar (Atlantic salmon). It matches the Rfam family "tRNA", at positions 8 to 63 of the family's 71-position model. From Rfam's summary of the family: Transfer RNA (tRNA) molecules are approximately 80 nucleotides in length. Their secondary structure includes four short double-helical elements and three loops (D, anti-codon, and T loops). The record is from Rfam by way of RNAcentral. Lineage: Eukaryota; Metazoa; Chordata; Actinopteri; Salmoniformes; Salmonidae. RNAcentral also lists the same sequence under 1 other name.